Molecule: ribosomal RNA, 468 nt
Filed under: uncultured bacterium
Lineage: Bacteria
Description: partial 16S ribosomal RNA
Rfam family: Bacterial small subunit ribosomal RNA
Source: RNAcentral
GACGAACGCUGGCGGCGUGCUUAACGCAUGCAAGUCGAACGGAAAGGCUCUGCUGUUGUUGUGUGCUCGAAUCGCGAGAGGAACAGUAACAUGAGAUUCACCUGCCUUUGGCUUUGGGAUCACAACUGGAGAGUGGGGCCACUAACGGACUGAUGCCGCUGGUGAAGGGUGGGGGGUGGACAGUCUCGGCGGGUGGGGAGGGACUCGCGGCAUCUCAGCGUGUUGGUGGGGUAGUGGCUUACCAAGGCUUUGUCGGGUAGCCGGCCUGAGAGGGUGACCGGCCACAUUGGGACUGAGAGACGGCCCAGACUCCUACGGGAGGCAGCAGGGGGGAAUGUUGCACAAUGGGCGGAAGCCUGAUGCAGGAACGCAGGGUGCGGGAUGAAGGCCGUCGGGUUGGAAGCCGCUUUCGCCUGUGACGAAGCGUGAGUGACGGUAAUGGGUAAAGAGGCACCGGCUAACUACGUG